UGCCCGUGGGGCUCCGGAUUGAGCCAGUAGGCGUGCCGAGCCUGCGCCGCGAGCCGCCGGAGCGUGUCCAGCGCGGGCGGC
Molecule: transfer RNA, 81 nt
Filed under: Planotetraspora thailandica
Lineage: Bacteria; Bacillati; Actinomycetota; Actinomycetes; Streptosporangiales; Streptosporangiaceae
Description: tRNA-Gly
Source: RNAcentral